This 253-nucleotide ribosomal RNA is filed under the name uncultured bacterium. RNAcentral describes it as "partial 16S ribosomal RNA". It matches the Rfam family "Bacterial small subunit ribosomal RNA", at positions 524 to 776 of the family's 1533-position model. The record is from RNAcentral.
UACGUAGGGUGCAAGCGUUGUCCGGAAUUAUUGGGCGUAAAGAGCUCGUAGGCGGUCUGUCACGUCGGCUGUGAAAACCCGGGGCUCAACCCCGGGCCUGCAGUCGAUACGGGCAGACUAGAGUGCGGUAGGGGAGACUGGAAUUCCUGGUGUAGCGGUGGAAUGCGUAGAUAUCUGGAGGAACACCGAUGGCGAAGGCAGCCUCCUGGGCUAGUACUGACGCUCAUGCACGAAAGCGUGGGGAGCAAACAGG